RNAcentral lists this ribosomal RNA (499 nucleotides) under uncultured bacterium. Its description in RNAcentral is "partial 16S ribosomal RNA". It matches the Rfam family "Bacterial small subunit ribosomal RNA", at positions 355 to 844 of the family's 1533-position model. The record is from RNAcentral.
UAGGGAAUCUUCCACAAUGGACGCAAGUCUGAUGGAGCAACGCCGCGUGAGUGAAGAAGGUUUUCGGAUCGUAAAGCUCUGUUGUUGGUGAAGAAGGAUAGAGGCAGUAACUGGUCUUUAUUUGACGGUAAUCAACCAGAAAGUCACGGCUAACUACGUGCCAGCAGCCGCGGUAAUACGUAGGUGGCAAGCGUUGUCCGGAUUUAUUGGGCGUAAAGCGAGCGCAGGCGGAAUGAUAAGUCUGAUGUGAAAGCCCACGGCUCAACCGUGGAACUGCAUCGGAAACUGUCAUUCUUGAGUGCAGAAGAGGAGAGUGGAACUCCAUGUGUAGCGGUGGAAUGCGUAGAUAUAUGGAAGAACACCAGUGGCGAAGGCGGCUCUCUGGUCUGCAACUGACGCUGAGGCUCGAAAGCAUGGGUAGCGAACAGGAUUAGAUACCCUGGUAGUCCAUGCCGUAAACGAUGAGCGCUAGGUGUUGGGGACUUUCCGGUUCUCGAGU